UUAUAUAAUGAGUUCACACGUAAGCGCUGCUUUAUAUUUGGGCUGCGUUCCCACCCCACAGCCUUCCGAUUUAUCCCGGGUUAGAACCUGCGAUGCAAAUAAAGGGUCACAAAUCUAUUUAAAUAAACUGCCGUGUUUGUAAGAAGCAGGAGUUUCAUCUGGUUGUGGUUCUGCACUCGUUCCGACAAUGCGUAUUCUGGUGUUCAGUGUAUUAUCCGCACUGUGCUUACAAAAUGUCCAGUCCCAGGUGUCCUUGACGGAGACCGGCGGAGGGGUGAAGAAACCCGGGGAGUCCCUGCGGCUCAGCUGUAAAGGUUCGGGGUUCACCUUCAGUAGCUACUACAUGCACUGGGUCCGACAGCAGCCCGGGAAAGGGCUCGAAUGGGUAGCCAGAAUCAGCUAUGACUCUAGUAGCAAGUAUUACUCCCCCUCACUGAAGGACCGGACCACCAUCUCCAGGGACAAUUCCCAGAGCCUCCUGUAUCUGGACAUGACGAACCUGAAACCCGAAGACACCGGCACCUAUUACUGCGCUACAGACACAGUGACUGAAACCAGUGAGGGACCCGUACAAUAACCUCCUACACAAGGGGGGGGGGGGUAAUCAUGAGAGCUUACUCAAAGAUACACCCAGUACGACUUAGUACACAACGUUUCCCAGUUCAAGUGUGCCAGAUAUUCCGAUUCUAAACAAAUAACACAAAUUAAAGUGUAUCACACCCAAAGAUGUAAGCUUCUCGUAUGCUAGCCUCUAACAACGAUUAAAGGUCACGAAUCGAUUUGAAUGACUUUAGUGCCUGUUUGAUAUUAAUGUUUGAGAUAUGUAGCGCCAGCAUAGAAACAGUUCAGUUUUCGUAGACGGUAGCAGCCUGGUAGUCUGUAUGGGGCAGGGAGGGGAACGACAAUGAUCUCGAAAAAUUGUGUCCAGCUUCACAGAUGAUAUCCUGUAGCUUGUGAAAACCUUCUUAUGUGAAAUCCUUGCAUUCUUCGCAGUCGUAAGUAAACUCAGCAUGGUCCAUUCCGCAGUGCUUGUCGCCAUCUGGCGCCCAACUUUUAAAUUGCAAUGCUAUUAAAAUGCAAAGAAGAGGAAAAUGGUACUGAAUUAAUAUUGCAUACAUUCCCCACGACCGCAGACCUCUGUACAUAAUUUUGAAGCUGUACCUUAUUACGGGCAAUG
This is a non-coding RNA of Protopterus annectens (West African lungfish), 1177 nucleotides long. The record is from the annotation of a RefSeq genome assembly. NCBI's taxonomy places the organism in Eukaryota, Metazoa, Chordata, Ceratodontiformes, Protopteridae.